GAUGAACGCUGGCGGCAGGCUUAACACAUGCAAGUCGAGCGGGGUGAGGUGCUUCGGUACUGAUCCUAGCGGCGGACGGGUGAGUAAUGCUUAGGAAUCUGCCAUUUAGUGGGGGACAACAUUCCGAAAGGAAUGCUAAUACCGCAUACGUCCUACGGGAGAAAGCAGGGGAUCUUCGGACCUUGCGCUAAAUGAUGAGCCUAAGUCGGAUUAGCUAGUUGGUGGGGUAAAGGCCUACCAAGGCGACGAUCUGUAGCGGGUCUGAGAGGAUGAUCCGCCACACUGGCACUGAGGCACGGCCCAGCCUCCUACGGGAGGCAGCAGUGGGGAAUAUUGGACAAUGGGCGGAAGCCUGAUCCAGCCAUGCCGCGUGUGUGAAGAAGGCCUUUUGGUUGUAAAGCACUUUAAGCGAGGAGGAGGCUACCUGGAUUAAUACUCUAGGAUAGUGGACGUUACUCGCAGAAUAAGCACCGGCUAACUCUGUGCCAGCAGCCGCCGUAA
Molecule: ribosomal RNA, 501 nt
Filed under: uncultured bacterium
Lineage: Bacteria
Description: partial 16S ribosomal RNA
Rfam family: Bacterial small subunit ribosomal RNA
Source: RNAcentral